Molecule: non-coding RNA, 21 nt
Filed under: Arabidopsis thaliana (thale cress)
Lineage: Eukaryota; Viridiplantae; Streptophyta; Magnoliopsida; Brassicales; Brassicaceae
Source: RNAcentral
CAAAAGACCGAAAGUACAUAA